CCUACGGGUGGCAGCAGUGAGGAAUAUUGGUCAAUGGACGAGAGUCUGAACCAGCCAAGUAGCGUGAAGGAUGACUGCCCUAUGGGUUGUAAACUUCUUUUAUAAAGGAAUAAAACGAGGCACGUGUGCCUUUUUGCAUGUACUUUAUGAAUAAGGAUCGGCUAACUCCGUGCCAGCAGCCGCGGUAAUACGGAGGAUCCGAGCGUUAUCCGGAUUUAUUGGGUUUAAAGGGAGCGUAGAUGGGUUGUUAAGUCAGUUGUGAAAGGUUGCGGCUCAACCGUAAAAUUGCAAUUGAUACUGGCAGUCUUGAGUACAGUUGAGGUAAGCGGAAUUCGUGGGGUAGCGGUGAAAUGCUUAGAUAUCACGAAGAACCCCGAUUGCGAAGGCAGCUUACUAAACUGUGACUGACAUUGAUGCUCGAAAGUGUGGGUAUCAAACAGGAUUAGAUACCCCAGUAGUC
RNAcentral lists this ribosomal RNA (460 nucleotides) under uncultured bacterium. RNAcentral describes it as "partial 16S ribosomal RNA". It matches the Rfam family "Bacterial small subunit ribosomal RNA", at positions 338 to 795 of the family's 1533-position model. The record is from RNAcentral.